UGUAAGCGUAUACCAAAGUUGUUGCAGUUAAAACGCUCGUAGUCGGAAUUUGGCAGUUCCGGAUGUGUGCACGUCGUGUGCGCACUUCGCGGGGAUUGCUUUUGUGGUCUUGCGUAGGAUGAGGCACUUUUAUUAGUGAACGUCCUCACGCAACCACUUUUUACUGUGAGAAAAUCAGAGUGCUCAAAGCAGGCAUUUGCCGUGAAUGUAUUAGCAUGGAAUAAUAGAAUAGUACUUGGUUCUAUUUUGUUGGUUUGUUGGGACUGAGUAAUGAUUAAGAGGGACAGUUGGGGGCAUUUGUAUUUCGGUGCUAGAGGUGAAAUUCUUAGAUUACCGAAAGACAAACUGCUGCGAAAGCGUCUGCCAAGGAUGUUUUCAUUGA
This 382-nucleotide ribosomal RNA is filed under the name uncultured eukaryote. Its description in RNAcentral is "partial 18S ribosomal RNA". It matches the Rfam family "Eukaryotic small subunit ribosomal RNA", at positions 592 to 976 of the family's 1831-position model. The record is from RNAcentral.